This 478-nucleotide ribosomal RNA is filed under the name Dohrniphora praedator. RNAcentral describes it as "partial 16S ribosomal RNA". Lineage: Eukaryota; Metazoa; Arthropoda; Insecta; Diptera; Phoridae. The record is from RNAcentral.
AAAAACAUGUCUUUUUGGAGUUAAUUUAAAGUCUGACCUGCCCACUGNNNAAAUUUAAAUGGCCGCAGUAUUUNNUAACUGUGCAAAGGUAGCAUAAUCAUUAGUCUUUUAAUUGAAGGCUGGAAUGAAUGGUUGGAUGAGAUACUAACUGUUUCAAUUUAANNNGGGGUAAAAUUUUAUUUUUUAGUCAAAAAGCUAAAAUAUUUUUAAAAGACGAGAAGACCCUAUAAAUCUUUAUAAAUNUCUAAUUAAUUAAUNAUAAAGAUUUCUUAAUUUUUUAAUGAAGAAUNUUAUUUUAUUGGGGUGAUAUUGAAAUUUAUAAAACUUUUAAUUUAUUAAAAACAAAAAUAAAUGAAUUUUNUGAUCCAUUUNNUUAUGAUUAAAAAUUUAAGUUACUUUAGGGAUAACAGCNGUAAUUUUUUUAGAGAGUUCACAUUAAUAAAAAAGAUUGCGACCUCGAUGUUGGAUUAAGAUAUAG